Molecule: ribosomal RNA, 253 nt
Filed under: uncultured bacterium
Lineage: Bacteria
Description: partial 16S ribosomal RNA
Rfam family: Bacterial small subunit ribosomal RNA
Source: RNAcentral
UACGUAGGGUGCGAGCGUUGUCCGGAAUUACUGGGCGUAAAGAGCUCGUAGGCGGUUUGUCGCGUCGGGAGUGAAAACCUUGGGCUUAACUCAGGGCUUGCUUUCGAUACGGGCAGACUAGAGGUAUGCAGGGGAGAACGGAAUUCCUGGUGUAGCGGUGAAAUGCGCAGAUAUCAGGAGGAACACCGGUGGCGAAGGCGGCCCUCUGGACGGUGACUGACGCUGAGACGCGAAAGCGUGGGGAGCAAACAGG